This 556-nucleotide ribosomal RNA is filed under the name Bovichtus variegatus (thornfish). Its description in RNAcentral is "partial 16S ribosomal RNA". It matches the Rfam family "Bacterial large subunit ribosomal RNA", at positions 195 to 1050 of the family's 2925-position model. Lineage: Eukaryota; Metazoa; Chordata; Actinopteri; Perciformes; Bovichtidae. The record is from RNAcentral.
GAUGCCAACUAGCUAGCCCAUAGAAACAAAUUCAACACAACACCAUUAAUACCCCUAAAUACCCUAAUGUGCAGUUAAAUAAAUCAUUUUUCCCCCUUAGUAUGGGAGACAGAAAAGGGACUCGGAGCAAUAGAGAGAGUACCGCAAGGGAAAGCUGAAAAAGAAAUGAAACAACCCAGUAAAGCCCCGAAAAGCAGAGAUAAAACCUCGUCCCUUUUGCAUCAUGAUCUAGCUAGUGAAACUCAAGCAAAGCGUUCUUUAGUUUGAAAACCCGAAGCUAAGGGAGCUACUCCAAGACAGCCUAUUAAUAGGGCAAACCCGUCUCUGUUGCAAAAGAGUGGGAAGAGCUUUGAGUAGAGGCAACAUACCUACCGAACUUAGUUAUAGCUGGUUACCCAUGAAAUGGAUAAAAGUUCAGCCUUACGGAUUCUCCUUUCAUUUAUAGGGGCAGACCCCCUACCACCCCUGAUAGCCUUAAGAAGCCAUAAGAGUUAGUCAUAGGGGGCCCAGCCCCUUUGAGACAAGAUACAACUUUUUCAGAAGGAUAAAGAUCACA